CGCAAAGUGAAAAAUGAUGUAAAAAUUGUACUACUUUUUGAGAUUAGUCUCAACUCGUCAUAGAGUAUGUGUGGCGGGAAGCCACCACCACACACUCUUCCCACUGGAAACCACUAAAAAUGUAAACAACUCAAGAUGAGUUUUGCAGUUUUUUGCAAAUAAUUCAAAAUUCCCACCGAAACUCGUGAACUUUUUACCCCACCGAGUUCAUCAGUUUCGCCACUAUGUGAUGGAUAAGGAUUUGUUUAACAUGAAAUAUAGCCAAUUCUUAAACUCAUUGGGAAGCCAUGGGUAGGCACUGGUAAAGAGAGUGUUCAAUCCAGAAGCUUUUCAUGCAGGGUAUUGGCAACGAUUCUAAAAUAUCUGGCAAAUGAGGGGUGGAUUUUACUUCAAAGUUUUGACGCAACUAAAAAAACCAAUGACAAGGACACAAUGUUCUUUGAAUGUGCUGAGAAGGAUCCAGAUACUCAAGUUUUUGCAAUCAGUUUCAAUCGGGACGAUAGAAUUAGGCUCGUUGAUCCGCCAGAAUCAUGGCUUUCAGAUCAUUUUAAACAAACAGUUCGGGACGGGUGGUCAGCGGGCGUUCAACACGUACGGUCUUAUUUUGGCUCUACCGAG
Folsomia candida is the source of this 618-nucleotide long non-coding RNA. RefSeq lists it as uncharacterized. The record is from RefSeq and is a predicted model, not a curated record. NCBI's taxonomy places the organism in Eukaryota, Metazoa, Arthropoda, Collembola, Entomobryomorpha, Isotomidae. The transcript has 3 exons.